RNAcentral lists this ribosomal RNA (468 nucleotides) under uncultured bacterium. RNAcentral's name for it is "partial 16S ribosomal RNA". It matches the Rfam family "Bacterial small subunit ribosomal RNA", at positions 28 to 507 of the family's 1533-position model. The record is from RNAcentral.
GACGAACGCUGGCGGCGUGCUUAACACAUGCAAGUCGAACGGAAAGGCCCUGCUUUUGUGGGGUGCUCGAGUGGCGAACGGGUGAGUAACACGUGAGUAACCUGCCCUUGACUUUGGGAUAACUUCAGGAAACUGGGGCUAAUACCGGAUAGGAGCUCCUGCUGCAUGGUGGGGGUUGGAAAGUUUCGGCGGUUGGGGAUGGACUCGCGGCUUAUCAGCUUGUUGGUGGGGUAGUGGAUUACCAAGGCUUUGACGGGUAGCCGGCCUGAGAGGGUGACCGGCCACAUGGGGACUGAGAUACGGCCCAGACUCCUACGGGAGGCAGCAGUGGGGAAUAUUGCACAAUGGGCGGAAGCCUGAUGCAGCAACGCCGCGUGCGGGAUGACGGCCUUCGGGUUGUAAACCGCUUUCGCCUGUGACGAAGCGUGAGUGACGGUAAUGGGUAAAGAAGCACCGGCUAACUACGUG